UACGUAGGGUGCAAGCGUUAAUCGGAAUUACUGGGCGUAAAGCGUGCGCAGGCGGCUAUGCAAGACAGAUGUGAAAUCUCCAGGCUCAACCUGGAGGGGUCAUUCGAAACUGCUAUGACUAGAGUUCGGUAGAGGAGUGUGGAAUUCCUGGUGGAGCGGUGAAAUGCGCAGAGAUCAGGAGGAACACCCGUAGCGAAGGCGGCACUCUGGGCCGAUACUGACGCUGAGGAGCGAAAGCGUGGGGAGCGAACAGG
Molecule: ribosomal RNA, 254 nt
Filed under: uncultured bacterium
Lineage: Bacteria
Description: partial 16S ribosomal RNA
Rfam family: Bacterial small subunit ribosomal RNA
Source: RNAcentral